RNAcentral lists this ribosomal RNA (250 nucleotides) under uncultured bacterium. RNAcentral's name for it is "partial 16S ribosomal RNA". It matches the Rfam family "Bacterial small subunit ribosomal RNA", at positions 57 to 305 of the family's 1533-position model. The record is from RNAcentral.
GCAAGUCGAGCGGAAACGAGAAUAGCUUGCUAUUCGGCGUCGAGCGGCGGACGGGUGAGUAAUGCUUGGGAAUAUGCCUUAUGGUGGGGGACAACAGUUGGAAACGACUGCUAAUACCGCAUAACGUCUACGGACCAAAGGGGGGGACCUUCGGGCCUCUCGCGUCAAGAUAUGCCUAGGUGGGAUUAGCUAGUUGGUGAGGUAAUGGCUCACCAAGGCGACGAUCCCUAGCUGGUCUGAGAGGAUGAUC